Lolium perenne is the source of this 1218-nucleotide non-coding RNA. NCBI's taxonomy places the organism in Eukaryota, Viridiplantae, Streptophyta, Magnoliopsida, Poales, Poaceae. The record is from RefSeq and is a predicted model, not a curated record.
CUCCUCCAAUCCCCACCUGCUCCUCUCCUCUCCUCCCCCAAUCCUGCUUGGCUGCCUCCUGCCUCCUCUCAUCCAAUCCGCCGCCUUCCUCCUUCUCUCGCGGCGGCGCGUCUGGAGGAACCGGCCUGAGAAGGAGCGGCCAGCCUGAGCGAUGGAGGUGCCCGCAGGGGGUCACCACGGCUUGGGAGGCCGAUUCGGGUGGUGGCGUUGGUGGCGGCGGGUGGAGGUGAGGCGGGAGCGGGCAGAGACGGGAUCGCGCGGGGCGGAUCCACGGCGGUGGCGACUGGUGGCGCCGGGCGCGGCCGGAGACGGGCCGGCGCGGGGUGGAUCCGCUCCGGCGACGACGGGAGGCGACGGGCUCGCGCGGGGCGGAUCCGUGGCGGUGGCGACUGGAGGUGCCGGGCGCGGUCGAAGACGGGUCGGCACGGGGCGGAUCCGCUCCGGCGACGACCAGAGGCGAUGGGCGCGGCCGGAGACGGGCCAACCGGAGGUGGAGGAGCAGCGAGGGGCGACGCUGGGACGGUGGUGGAGGAGGAGCGACGAGCGCGCCGGCCACUCGCCGGAGCACAUCAGCAUCUCGUCUCUCGUCAAUAUUACUUCCCCAUGUUAAGCUUGACACGGCCUGCCGAAGUUGCAAGUGGUGACUGGUGAGCAAGAGCAAAGUUGCUACCUCGCUUGAAGAGCUCUGACCUGUCACCGGGAGGCCUCAUCCAAAUUGCUACCCAUCAACUUCGUUGGACUCGCCAAGCAGGCGGGGCACCCCUCUCGGAAAAUCUGAGGGUUAUUAGGUCAUUUGAGACCUGAAUUAUAAGCACAGUCAUGUAUUUGUGACAAUUAUUAGAAGGAAAUGGUCGAGAACUUGGAUGUGAGGGUGCCCUGGUGUGGGAGGCGCCGCGGCCUCGGCAGACCAGACGGACUCCAAUGUGGAAGGGAGCAAGAAGGAAGGGACAAUUUUUUUCGGGUCGAUUGUUGCUGUUUUGGGUUGGUUACCACAUCAACUAGGUUGUGUUCUCCUUUAAGCUCUCGAUCUCUUGACGGCGCUGCUGCUCCUGGUAUUCCUAUCUUCUCGAUAUUUAUUAUUUUGUUUCUUACUUUGUAGGCUUAUUUGUGUUGCCUCAAACAUGAGACUGCUGAGAGUGUUCCUAGGCUGAAUAUGGCUACUAUUUGGGUGCCAGGUGACAUGGUUUUAAAUAGGGCAUUAGAUUUUGAUUUGCUGUG